RNAcentral lists this ribosomal RNA (578 nucleotides) under uncultured Lysobacteraceae bacterium. Its description in RNAcentral is "bacterial SSU rRNA". It matches the Rfam family "Bacterial small subunit ribosomal RNA", at positions 102 to 676 of the family's 1533-position model. The record is from RNAcentral. Lineage: Bacteria; Pseudomonadati; Pseudomonadota; Gammaproteobacteria; Lysobacterales; Lysobacteraceae.
ACGGGUGAGGAGCACAUCGGAAUCUGCCCGGUUGUGGGGGAUAACGUAGGGAAACUUACGCUAAUACCGCAUACGAUCGAGAGAUGAAAGCGGGGGACCGUAAGGCCUCGCGCAGUCGGAUGAGCCGAUGUCGGAUUAGCUAGUUGGUGGGGUAAAGGCCUACCAAGGCGACGAUCCGUAGCUGGUCUGAGAGGAUGAUCAGCCACACUGGGACUGAGACACGGCCCAGACUCCUACGGGAGGCAGCAGUGGGGAAUAUUGGACAAUGGGGGCAACCCUGAUCCAGCAAUGCCGCGUGUGUGAAGAAGGCCUUCGGGUUGUAAAGCACUUUUAUCCGGAACGAAACGUGUCGGGUUAACAGCCCGGCAAACUGACGGUACCGGAGGAAUAAGCACCGGCUAACUUCGUGCCAGCAGCCGCGGUAAUACGAAGGGUGCAAGCGUUACUCGGAAUUACUGGGCGUAAAGGGUGCGUAGGUGGUUUGUUAAGUCUGCUGUGAAAUCCCCGGGCUCAACCUGGGAAUGGCAGUGGAUACUGGCAAGCUGGAGUGCGGUAGAGGGUAGUGGAAUUCCCGGUGU